AGGAAGUUGACUUUACAGGAAAGUAAAAAAAAAAGGUUCAAAUCCUUUACUUCUUA
This 56-nucleotide transfer RNA is filed under the name Phellinotus piptadeniae. RNAcentral's name for it is "tRNA-Leu". Lineage: Eukaryota; Fungi; Basidiomycota; Agaricomycetes; Hymenochaetales; Hymenochaetaceae. The record is from RNAcentral.